UCCCUCUAAGAAAAACCUUU
Molecule: small nuclear RNA, 20 nt
Filed under: Arabidopsis thaliana (thale cress)
Lineage: Eukaryota; Viridiplantae; Streptophyta; Magnoliopsida; Brassicales; Brassicaceae
Description: snRNA_06950
Source: RNAcentral